AUCUUUUUGUUUCCCAGGACAAAGGGGCAAAUUCAGCAUGUGAUGAGUGUUGGGGCUUCAGGACAAUACAAGGAAGUUUGGCUCUGGUUCAUGCCCACUGCCCACCAUGGCAUUGCCAUCAUGCCCU
This 127-nucleotide long non-coding RNA is filed under the name Felis catus (domestic cat). RNAcentral's name for it is "lncRNA (ENSFCAG00000052750.1)". The record is from RNAcentral. Lineage: Eukaryota; Metazoa; Chordata; Mammalia; Carnivora; Felidae.